Molecule: ribosomal RNA, 487 nt
Filed under: uncultured bacterium
Lineage: Bacteria
Description: partial 16S ribosomal RNA
Rfam family: Bacterial small subunit ribosomal RNA
Source: RNAcentral
GACGAACGCUGGCUGCGUGCUUAACACAUGCAAGUCGAACGCUGAAGCCAGAAGCUUGCUUCUGGUGGAUGAGUGGCGAACGGGUGAGUAACACGUGAGUAACCUGCCCCCGAUUUCGGGAUAAGCCCGGGAAACUGGGUCUAAUACCGGAGACGACCAUCCCUCGCAUGAGGGGUGGUGGAAAGUUUUUCGAUCGGGGAUGGGCUCGCGGCCUAUCAGCUUGUUGGGGGGGUAAUGGCCCACCAAGGCGACGACGGGUAGCCGGCCGGAGAGGGCGACCGGCCACACUGGGACUGAGACACGGCCCAGACUCCUACGGGAGGCAGCAGUGGGGAAUAUUGCACAAUGGGGGAAACCCUGAUGCAGCGACGCAGCGUGCGGGAUGACGGCCUUCGGGUUGUAAACCGCUUUCAGCAGGGAAGAAGCCGUAAGGUGACGGUACCUGCAGAAGAAGUACCGGCUAACUACGUGCCAGCAGCAGCCGCGG